This 493-nucleotide ribosomal RNA is filed under the name uncultured bacterium. RNAcentral's name for it is "partial 16S ribosomal RNA". It matches the Rfam family "Bacterial small subunit ribosomal RNA", at positions 30 to 523 of the family's 1533-position model. The record is from RNAcentral.
AUUGAACGCUGGCGGCAUGCUUUACACAUGCAAGUCGAACGGUAACAGGUUAAGCUGACGAGUGGCGAACGGGUGAGUAAUAUAUCGGAACGUGCCCAGUCGUGGGGGAUAACGUAGCGAAAGCCACGCUAAUACCGCAUACGAUCUACGGAUGAAAGCGGGGGAUCGCAAGACCUCGCGCGAUUGGAGCGGCCGAUAUCAGAUUAGGUUGUUGGUGAGGUAAAAGCUCACCAAGCCUGCGAUCUGUAGCUGGUCUGAGAGGACGACCAGCCACACUGGAACUGAGACACGGUCCAGACUCCUACGGGAGGCAGCAGUGGGGAAUUUUGGACAAUGGACGCAAGUCUGAUCCAGCAAUGCCGCGUGCAGGACGAAGGCCUUCGGGUUGUAAACUGCUUUUGUACGGAACGAAACGGUGAGCUCUAAUACAGUUUGCUAAUGACGGUACCGUAAGAAUAAGCACCGGCUAACUACGUGCCAGCCGCCGCCGUAA